CCAGUUGUAUUGAAUCGAGGGAGACAAUAUGGCAAUAACCGAUGAAGGCCAACAACAGCCGGCUGAGAGUGAGACGAGAUGGAGAGGAGUUAUCGAGGGAGAGGAUGCUACAAUGUUCGAUGAAGGCUAGCAAUGAUCAGUUGAGAGUAAGCCAGGAUGGAGAGGAGCUAUCGGUUGAGUGACAAGUGAAAGAGUACUCCUAGAUAAAAAGGGAGAAAAUUGUGUAGAGAUUCAAGGAGGUAGAUGCAUGGUGGAGAUGCUAAUAAUGGAGGCGUGGGAACCAAAAGAGAAGGCGAUGGAUGAAAAGGAG
RNAcentral lists this long non-coding RNA (310 nucleotides) under Manihot esculenta (cassava). RNAcentral describes it as "long non-coding RNA (MESC_LNC006745)". Lineage: Eukaryota; Viridiplantae; Streptophyta; Magnoliopsida; Malpighiales; Euphorbiaceae. The record is from RNAcentral.